UGGGGAAUAUUGGACAAUGGGGGCAACCCUGAUCCAGCAAUGCCGCGUGUGUGAAGAAGGCCUGAGGGUUGUAAAGCACUUUUAGUGGGGAGGAAGGCGUAUGUGUUAAUAGUACAUACGAGUGACGUUACCCAAAGAAUAAGCACCGGCUAACUCUGUGCCAGCAGCCGCGGUAAUACAGAGGGUGCGAGCGUUAAUCGGAAUUACUGGGCGUAAAGGGUGCGUAGGUGGUUAUUUAAGUCAGAUGUGAAAGCCCUGGGCUCAACCUAGGAAUUGCAUAUGAUACUGAGUAGCUAGAGUAUGGUAGAGGGAAGUGGAAUUUCCGGUGUAGCGGUGAAAUGCGUAGAUAUCGGAAGGAACAUCAGUGGCGAAGGCGGCUUCCUGGACUAAUACUGACACUGAGGCACGAAAGCAUGGGGAGCGAACAG
This 428-nucleotide ribosomal RNA is filed under the name uncultured bacterium. Its description in RNAcentral is "bacterial SSU rRNA". It matches the Rfam family "Bacterial small subunit ribosomal RNA", at positions 355 to 775 of the family's 1533-position model. The record is from RNAcentral.